Non-coding RNA from Paramuricea clavata, 903 nucleotides. Lineage: Eukaryota; Metazoa; Cnidaria; Anthozoa; Malacalcyonacea; Plexauridae. The record is from the annotation of a GenBank genome assembly.
GCGUUUUUCAGUUUGUUUGCCCCCUUCACGUCGCUUUAGAAGAUCUUGAAAAUAUUGCGAUGGACUUGCACGUUGUGGGCUAAAGGGAUCAGGUGAAGUAUCAAUUUGCUUCCAUCUCUCCUCAUUCCUUACGAGAUCUUUAGGCAUGUUCAUCUUGGAUAAAGCACGAAAAAACUCUCUUGAUCCAGUAGGAUUAAAAUUUCUUCUGGACCUCAAGGCAUCACUGACCAAAUCAGAUAUGUUGGAAUGGGAAAUUUCUUUACCGUCCAGGCUAACUUGUCCAGAUUCAUCCCAAGAAAUAACGUCAGGUCUUGCUUUCAAUCGAUUUAACAGUGCUGUAGCUCUUGCACGCAUGGUUUUAGGUAUAUGCUCGACCACGUCUGCGUCAGAUAACCUUGCUUGUUCUAUGGGCUCAGGUUCUUGUUCCGUACCAGGCGCUAUCCGAACGGUAGGUAUUUGACCAUCUUUUUGACGUCUCAAACUCAGAUAACUUUCCAUGUUCGCAUUGUACAAUUUCUGUUUUUCAGCAUCGGGCAUACUCGCGCUCUGAAGAAUCUCCGACAUCUCUGUAUCCUGAUGCAUCAUGUUGGACAUAAUAGGGGCAGUCUCAAGCUUUUGCUUCUGCUCAUAUCUGUUAAGCACGUCUUCGGGAACCAGCACCAUUCGUUUUGCAUGCUUCAUUUUACUAACAAGCUACUAAGUACACUUAAUACGGGUGGUAAGAGAGCAGUCAAUAGAUUCCCACCUUUUUGAUUAAGGUGCUUCUUCUUCUGUUUUCUUGACACUUUCUUAUUCGCUAAAGCACGGAGAUGUGUCUUGUAGCGCACCAAUCGUCGCUUUUGACGCGGCGUUAGUGGGAUUACGCCUUUAAGUAGAUUCAGGGAACACUCGCAGAUAGCCGUG